This 511-nucleotide ribosomal RNA is filed under the name Trigonopterus sp. 89 AR-2022a. Its description in RNAcentral is "partial large subunit ribosomal RNA". Lineage: Eukaryota; Metazoa; Arthropoda; Insecta; Coleoptera; Curculionidae. The record is from RNAcentral.
CUGGCCUGCCCAGUGAAAGGUUUAACGGCCGCGGUAUUUUGACCGUGCAAAGGUAGCAUAGUCAUUAGUUUUUUAAUHGAAAGCUUGUAUGAAAGGUUUGAUGAAAAAGAGACUGUCUCUAAAAAAUHUUAUUAGAAUHUUAUHHUUAAGHUAAAAAGCUUAAAUHUGGAUGGAAGACGAGAAGACCCUAUAGAGUHUUAUAUUUUGAGAAUAAAAGGAUUUUAGGHHUAUAAAAUHUUUUGUUUAUAGAAGHAUUUAGUUGGGGUGAUUAAAAAAUUUAGUGAACUUUUUUUAAACGAAAACAUUUAUUUGUGAGUAAGUGAUCCUAGUUUAUAGAUUAUAAGAUUAAAUUACCUUAGGGAUAACAGCGUUAUUUUUUCUAGAGUUCUUAUCGAAAGAAAAGAUUGCGACCUCGAUGUUGGAUUAAAAUUAAUUGUUGGUGUAGAAGCUAAUAAAUUAGGUCUGUUCGACCUUUAAAAUUUUACAUGAUCUGAGUUUAAACCGGUGUGAG